UACGUAGGUGGCAAGCGUUGUUCGGAUUUACUGGGCGUAAAGCGCACGUAGGCGGAUUGUUAAGUCAGGGGUGAAAUCCCGGAGCUCAACUCCGGAACUGCCUUUGAUACUGGCAAUCUAGAGUCCGGAAGAGGUGAGUGGAACUCCUAGUGUAGAGGUGGAAUUCGUAGAUAUUAGGAAGAACACCAGUGGCGAAGGCGGCUCACUGGUCCGGUACUGACGCUGAGGUGCGAAAGCGUGGGGAGCAAACAGGG
Molecule: ribosomal RNA, 254 nt
Filed under: uncultured bacterium
Lineage: Bacteria
Description: partial 16S ribosomal RNA
Rfam family: Bacterial small subunit ribosomal RNA
Source: RNAcentral